UGGCACGUUUGUCAGCCCCGACUCAGGGCUCGCCUCUGUAACCCUGACAGUGCUGCUCUCUGGGGCUGCUGUAGGGGAAAUGUCAUCGGGAGAGGUCUCUCCUGAAGCUGACUCGGGAGACAGAACUAAUUUCUCUGAAACGCCCGGGGACAGUGGACCUUGAGGACGGGGAGUAGACAAGGGGACGGCUCUAUUAGCCUCUGCUUCUUUACUUGGGAGUUCAGGAUAGGAUUCGGACAGAAAAAUGGGACUGUUGUCAGCGACCUUGGCUGCUGGGGUCAGGCUUGUCCUUUCAGUCCCGGGAGCAGUCGAAGUCAUCUCCUCUGCCACGGGAGGGGCCCUUGGUGCCUGUUGCCAAUCGGGGAUUAUGCCUUCUAACUUAGACAUGGUGAGAACCACGUCUUUGUCUGUGUCGGGGCCCCCUGGGAUGACUGCGCUUUCUCUGGCUGUGGGCAUGGAGCCACUGAUGGUGGAAACGGCUAUUCGGGUCGGUACUGAGAAAAAAUCUGUCUCUGAUCCCAGCCUGGCCUCGGAUGCGUUACUGGAGGUAUGGGAGAGAGUUGAGUCGAGAAUCGAGUCUGUGCUGAAGCCUUUAGGAGGACUUGUCUUGAAGCUAAGGCUGUAGUCAGUAGAGUUGGAAGUCCCUGAGGAAAUGGUGCUGGCCUCUAUGUCCGGAGUACUGUCCACUGUGCUGGACCUAUCAGCCAGGACGGUGGUGGAGAACCAGCUAGGGCUCAUCCACGGGAUCUCGGUGUUGAUAAAAGUCGAGCUGGUGUCAAUGGAUCCCGCUGACCUAGACCUUCCGUUGGGGGUGAUGGGAACAGUGGGUGGAGUGGUCUCUUCACUCGUGUCAGCACCAGAAAGGCUGCUCCCUGAGCCAGAGGGAAACUCCACCACCAAAGCCCUUUCUUCUGUUGGACAACAGAACACUCACCACAGAUCCGGUCAUUACAGUCACCAGUUCCUGCCGACAGUAAGAAAAAGGUAAUUUUGCCCCAAGCCCACCUUCCCACUUAGUGUGCAGGGAGACCUGAGGGGCUACAUGGGUCCAGCAGACGUAUCCCCAAACACGGACCCUCUGUAGAACAAGCCAAG
This 1095-nucleotide long non-coding RNA is filed under the name Sarcophilus harrisii (Tasmanian devil). RNAcentral describes it as "lncRNA (ENSSHAG00000024223.1)". The record is from RNAcentral. Lineage: Eukaryota; Metazoa; Chordata; Mammalia; Dasyuromorphia; Dasyuridae.